CCCUGUUGAGCUUGACUCUAGUCUGGCAAUGUAAGGAGACAUAAGAGGUGUAGAAUAAGUGGGAGAUAGUUAACUUGUUUAAUUAUCGUCAAUGAAAUACCACUACUCUUAUUGUUUCCUUACUUACUUGAUUAAAUGGAACAUGUAUUAUUUACUUAGCCAUUAUAUGGAUAUAUUUAUAUAUUUUAUGGUAUUUUGUGUUGAUGCAAGCUUAUUGUACAAAGUAUCAAGAGUUUGUUAUACACACCAAACAUAAUAUAAAGAAUUAAUGUUUAUAUAUGGUAAUUUUCGUAAGAAUUUUAUGAUAUAUUUAUGUUAUAGUAAUUAUUUAUGGUAUAACUAAUAUGACUCAGAUAUGAUCCAAUUCAAGGACAAUGUCAGGUUGGGAGUUUGACUGGGGCGGUACAUCUCUCAAAUAAUAACGGAGGUGUCCCAAGGCCAGCUCAGUGCGGACAGAAACCACACAUAGAGCAAAAGGGCAAAUGCUGACUUGAUCUCGAUGUUCAGUACACAUAGAGACAGCAAAAGCUCGGCCUAUCGAUCCUUUUGGUUUAAGGAGUUUUUAACANGNGGUGUCAGAAAANUACCACAGGGNNNNNNNNNNNNNNNNNNNNNNNNNNNNNNNNNNNNNNNNNUUUUUGAUCCUUCGAUGUCGGCUCUUCCUAUCAUUGUGAAGCAAAAUUCGCCAAGCGUUGGAUUGUUCACCCAUUCAAGGGAACGUGAGCUGGGUUUAGACCGUCGUGAGACAGGUUAGUUUUACCCUASUGAUGACAAAAAUUGUUGCGACAGCAUUCCUGCGUAGUACGAGAGGAACCGCAGGUACGGACCAAUGGCACAAUACUUGUUCGAGAGAACAUUGGUAUGACGCUACGUCCGUUGGAUUAUGCCUGAACGCCUCUAAGGUCGUAUCCGUGCUGGACUGCAAUAAUAAUAAUGGGGCGAUUUGUAUUGUAUAGCAAUAAACCAUUUAAAGUUAUUAACAUUAGUUAAUAAUGACAAUGGAUAAUGUGAUGCUAAUGUGUUUUAUAAUAUAGUUAUGUUGGGUGGAUUUAAAUAAUCGCCUACGUAAAAGUAACUAAUUAUUUAACUAAACAUUAUUAAAUACGAUGACAAUGCCUAGAAUCAAUUGUAAACGACUUUGGUAACGNGCAA
RNAcentral lists this ribosomal RNA (1152 nucleotides) under Roederiodes sp. NCSU-99071975. RNAcentral's name for it is "partial 28S ribosomal RNA". The stretch from base 1 to 940 matches the Rfam family "Eukaryotic large subunit ribosomal RNA", at positions 2412 to 3401 of the family's 3401-position model. Lineage: Eukaryota; Metazoa; Arthropoda; Insecta; Diptera; Empididae. The record is from RNAcentral.